UACAGAGGGUGCGAGCGUUAAUCGGAAUUACUGGGCGUAAAGCGUGCGUAGACGGUAGCGUAAGUCAGAUGUGAAAGCCCCGGGCUCAACCUGGGAACUGCAUUUGUGACUGCACAGCUGGAGUGCGGCAGAGGGGAUGGAAUUCCGCGUGUAGCAGUGAAAUGCGUAGAUAUGCGGAGGAACACCGAUGGCGAAGGCAAUCCCCUGGGCCUGCACUGACGUCAUGCACGAAAGCGU
This 237-nucleotide ribosomal RNA is filed under the name uncultured bacterium. RNAcentral describes it as "partial 16S ribosomal RNA". It matches the Rfam family "Bacterial small subunit ribosomal RNA", at positions 524 to 762 of the family's 1533-position model. The record is from RNAcentral.